Molecule: ribosomal RNA, 625 nt
Filed under: Aleochara lata
Lineage: Eukaryota; Metazoa; Arthropoda; Insecta; Coleoptera; Staphylinidae
Description: eukaryotic LSU rRNA
Rfam family: Eukaryotic large subunit ribosomal RNA
Source: RNAcentral
GGAGUCUAGCAUGUGCGCGAGUCAUUGGGACUAUCGAAUCCUAAAGGCGAAAUGAAAGUGAAGCUGAGUUUUACUUAGUGAGGGAAGAUGGGCAACUUUGUUGCCUCGCACUCCCGGGGCGUCUCUUACACAUUGCGAGUUGAGGCGUACCUUGAGCGUACACGCUGGGACCCGAAAGAUGGUGAACUAUGCUUGAUCAGGACGAAGUCAGGGGAAACCCUGAUGGAGGUCCGUAGCGAUUCUGACGUGCAAAUCGAUCGUAAGAAUUGAGUAUAGGGGCGAAAGACUAAUCGAACCAUCUAGUAGCUGGUUCCCUCCGAAGUUUCCCUCAGGAUAGCUGGCACUCGGAGUAAGAGUUUCAUCUGGUAAAGCGAAUGAUUAGAGGCAUUGGGGUCGAAACGUCCUCAACCUAUUCUCAAACUUUAAAUGGGUGAGAAAUCCGACUUGCUUAAAUGUGAAGUCGCGAAAAUUCUAGAAUCAGAGUGCCAAGUGGGCCACUUUUGGUAAGCAGAACUGGCGCUGUGGGAUGAACCAAACGUUGAGUUAAAGCGCCUAAAAUUACGUUUAUGGGAUACCAUGAAAGGCGUUUGUAACUUAGGACAGCAGGACGGUGACCAUGGAAGUC